CCUACGGGUGGCAGCAGUGAGGAAUAUUGGUCAAUGGCCGGAAGGCUGAACCAGCCAAGCCGCGUGAAGGACGAAGGUGCCAAGCAUUGUAAACUUCUUUUGUCAAGGGACAAAAUCAGGCUCGAGAGCCUGACCGAGGGUACUUGAAGAAAAAGCAUCGGCUAACUCCGUGCCAGCAGCCGCGGUAAUACGGAGGAUGCGAGCGUUAUCCGGAUUUAUUGGGUUUAAAGGGAGCGUAGGCGGGUUGUUAAGUCAGUUGUGAAAGUUUGCGGCUCAACCGUAAAAUUGCAGUUGAUACUGGCAUCCUUGAGUACAGUAGAGGUAGGCGGAAUUCGUGGUGUAGCGGUGAAAUGCUUAGAUAUCACGAAGAACUCCGAUUGCGAAGGCAGCCUGCUGGACUGUAACUGACGCUGAUGCUCGAAAGUGUGGGUAUCAAACAGGAUUAGAUACCCCAGUAGUC
Molecule: ribosomal RNA, 460 nt
Filed under: uncultured bacterium
Lineage: Bacteria
Description: partial 16S ribosomal RNA
Rfam family: Bacterial small subunit ribosomal RNA
Source: RNAcentral